Molecule: ribosomal RNA, 541 nt
Filed under: Neofusicoccum kwambonambiense
Lineage: Eukaryota; Fungi; Ascomycota; Dothideomycetes; Botryosphaeriales; Botryosphaeriaceae
Description: eukaryotic LSU rRNA
Rfam family: 5.8S ribosomal RNA (bases 201-354)
Source: RNAcentral
UGAACCUGCGGAAGGAUCAUUACCGAGUUGAUUCGAGCUCCGGCUCGACUCUCCCACCCAAUGUGUACCUACCUCUGUUGCUUUGGCGGGCCGCGGUCCUCCGCACCGGCGCCCUUCGGGGGGCUGGCCAGCGCCCGCCAGAGGACCAUAAAACUCCAGUCAGUGAACUUUGCAGUCUGAGAAACAAGUUAAUAAACUAAAACUUUCAACAACGGAUCUCUUGGUUCUGGCAUCGAUGAAGAACGCAGCGAAAUGCGAUAAGUAAUGUGAAUUGCAGAAUUCAGUGAAUCAUCGAAUCUUUGAACGCACAUUGCGCCCCUUGGUAUUCCGAGGGGCAUGCCUGUUCGAGCGUCAUUUCAACCCUCAAGCUCUGCUUGGUAUUGGGCUCCGUCCUCCACGGACGCGCCUUAAAGACCUCGGCGGUGGCGUCUUGCCUCAAGCGUAGUAGAAAACACCUCGCUUUGGAGCGCACGGCGCCGCCCGCCGGACGAACCUUUGAAUUAUUUCUCAAGGUUGACCUCGGAUCAGGUAGGGAUACCCG